Molecule: ribosomal RNA, 253 nt
Filed under: uncultured bacterium
Lineage: Bacteria
Description: partial 16S ribosomal RNA
Rfam family: Bacterial small subunit ribosomal RNA
Source: RNAcentral
UACGUAGGGGGCAAGCGUUAUCCGGAUUUACUGGGUGUAGAGGGAGCGUAGACGGCCAGACAAGUCUGAAGUGAAAAUCCAGCGCUUAACGUUGGAAGUGCUUUGGAAACUGCCGGGCUAGCGUGCAGGAGGGGCAGGCGGAAUUCCUAGUGUAGCGGUGAAAUGCGUAGAUAUUAGGAGGAACACCAGUGGCGAAGGCGGCCUGCUGGACUGCAACUGACGUUGAGGCUCGAAGGCGUGGGGAGCAAACAGG